Long non-coding RNA from Carya illinoinensis, 597 nucleotides. RefSeq lists it as uncharacterized. The transcript is spliced from 2 exons. The record is from RefSeq and is a predicted model, not a curated record. Lineage: Eukaryota; Viridiplantae; Streptophyta; Magnoliopsida; Fagales; Juglandaceae.
UUUUCAACUUGGCUAAUCUAAAAAAAAAUACCAGUCAGAAAACAGAAACAAAAAACUCUUGGAAAACAAGAUUGGAUUUGACCUCUCAUACAAAUUAAACCGGAUUCCGGCGAGAUCAAGUUAUACGUACGUUAAUUUAGUCACACUGUCACAGCCACUCCAGGUGAGACCGACCCGUCUCAGGCUGGUUUAAUUAAGCAGCUAGCAGCCCAGCGGGGAUACAACCAGCGCUUAGUAAGUGGCGGCAACAGCCCGGCUGGAGCAAUGAAGCUUACUGUUAUCGUUAUGAAAAGGAGAAAGGGAGUUUCCGAUGGAUGUUUUGUGGAGAAAGAAUUAGCAGUAUAUAGCUAGGCUGAAUUUCCCAGAGGCCCCUGUCCUUUCAAAUUUUAGAAAGAAAUGGAACGAAGCCAAGCCUCAGCAGUAUAUAUUAUCUCAUUCACGAUUUACAUUAACUACAGUUCACAAUUGUAUGAUGUGGUUAAAAUUUAUGGAGGAUGUGACAUAUUGUACCAUUAUACGUAUGUAUGCAGGCCUUUAAGCUUAAAUAUUAUGUAAAACUUCAACUAUUUCGAUGACAUGAUAUAUUUCUUUCAUAAA